RNAcentral lists this long non-coding RNA (419 nucleotides) under Salmo salar (Atlantic salmon). RNAcentral describes it as "lncRNA (ENSSSAG00000097754.1)". The record is from RNAcentral. Lineage: Eukaryota; Metazoa; Chordata; Actinopteri; Salmoniformes; Salmonidae.
GUUGGCUAGGAGCUAGAAACAGAACUACGUUGGCUAGGAGCUAGAAACAGAACUACGUUGACUAGGAGUUAGAAACAGAACUACAUUGGCUAGGAGCUAGAAACAGACCUAUGUUGGCUAGGAGCUAGAAACAGAACUAUGUUGGCCUGGAGCUAGAAACAGAACUAUGUUGGCCAGGAGCAAGAAACAAAAUUAUGUUGGCCAGGAGCUAGAAACAGAACUAUGUUGGCCAGGAGCUAGAAACAGAACUAUGUUGGCUAGGAGCUAGAAACAGAACUAGGUUGGCUAGUUGUCCAGAAGCUAGAAACAAAACUAGGUUGGCUAGUUGGCCAGGAGCUAGAAACAGAAUUCUGUUGGCUAGGAGCUAGAAACAGAACUAGGUUGGCAAGGAGCUAGAACAGAACUAGGUUGGCUAGUUG